This is a non-coding RNA of Vicugna pacos (alpaca), 869 nucleotides long. NCBI's taxonomy places the organism in Eukaryota, Metazoa, Chordata, Mammalia, Artiodactyla, Camelidae. The record is from RefSeq and is a predicted model, not a curated record.
AGCACAAACAUCUCUGAACUCCAAGUAAACUGGGGCUUAAUAAUUUAGAAAAAUAUAUAGGAAAGGAAAAUCAGUUUAUGGAGCACACGCACUGACAGGUUUUUUCUUUUUCUCUUUUGUAAUGUGAGUGCCUGAUUUGUGGUUUGAUUCAAUGGGGGAUCCAUUUCAAUGGGGAAUCCACCUCAAAGAUGGCUCUCUCCAACAGACAUGUUGCCAGCCACUUGACAAGGUGGUGUUCCUGAUGGGGCCAGCUGAGGAGAGGAAACUGGAGAUGUGACCCUGGAGCUGGAAUUCCGUGAACAGUCAGGCUGGACACAGUGUGACAUGACAACACCCAGGAGUUUUCCAUAGUUUAAGGUAGACGGGCUGGAGGUGCAUCUUGUUCUCUGAGGGUGGCAUGAAUAAUCAGUAUAAUAUGAAACCACCCAGAAGAUGGCUGUUUGGAUAGAUGAUUGGACUGCAAGUGACAACACUGACUGGGUGACAAGCCAAGACACCAUUGACUAUGAGUACCUUAUUUUUUUGUGGGUAGUACAGAUAAUCAAUGGUUUUUAAAGGUGGUAGGUAGCUGUAGGGACACAGCAUUACCUUCGAGGAUGUAGAGGACCCUAUCCAGUGGGAUGUCCCAUGUCAUCAUGGUGGAUUGGCUCAAAACAACGGGACCAAAAGUGCCCAUGUCAGGAGAUCUUUUCAGCUGCCAAAUCCAAAUACUAGCUUCAUACAGUGGACCAUAUACCAUAGUGUGCUGGGGGCACAGAAAGAAGAAAUAGAAUUGCAAGGGAGCAUAGUCAGCAUUUGUCAGGGAGCUAGAAGAGAAGGUUGGUUGAACCUUGGAAGACACUCAUUACUUAUUGGUGGAAGGAACAAUU